RNAcentral lists this ribosomal RNA (202 nucleotides) under uncultured Streptococcus sp. Its description in RNAcentral is "partial 16S ribosomal RNA". It matches the Rfam family "Bacterial small subunit ribosomal RNA", at positions 285 to 481 of the family's 1533-position model. Lineage: Bacteria; Bacillati; Bacillota; Bacilli; Lactobacillales; Streptococcaceae. The record is from RNAcentral.
AGCCGACCUGAGAGGGUGAUCGGCCACACUGGGACUGAGACACGGCCCAGACUCCUACGGGAGGCCGCCGUACGGAAUCUUCGGCAAUGGACGGAAGUCUGACCGAGCACCGCCGCGUGAGUGAAGAAGGUCUUCGGAUCGUAAAGCUCUGUUGUAAGAGAAGAACGAGUGUGAGAGUGGAAAGUCACACUGGACGGUUCUA